AUAGUAGUUAAUCCCGGAUCCCGGAGCGGAGCGGCCAGCCCCAAAACUGGGAUAGCGGCAUCCCGGGGAGCGGGAUGGCCGGGAUGCCGCUAUUAUUUUUUAUUUAUUUAUAAAUUACAUAAAUAAUANNNNNNNNNNNGUCUAAUCAUCCGAGGUUGAAGAAGAAACAACAGAUGAAGGUUGAAGAAGAAACAGCAGAUGAAGGUUGAAGAAGUUUGGAUCUUGAGAGUGAGAGAAGAUAGUACGAUAGCGUGAGAGAAAGAAUGAAUUAGGCUAGGGUUUAGUUAGGAGUAAGUAACAAUUUUAAAGGUAAAAAACCAAUUUUACCCUUACUAAAAUGAGUGAGAUUUCAAAAAUGGCCUUUAAAACCCAUGAAAACAAAAUCUCAGUCCUAACCCGGGAUGGCAACCUGGGACCCGCUCCGCUCCGGUCCACUGGGAACCUGCUGGGAUCCCACCGAGAAGCUUAGCUGCGCCGCUCCAUCCCAUCCCGUCCCGGCAGAGCUCCGCUCCGCUCUGCUCCACCGGGAUCCCACUGGGAUCGCCCGGGAUUGACUACCAUGAUUU
This 566-nucleotide long non-coding RNA is filed under the name Trifolium pratense (red clover). Its description in RNAcentral is "long non-coding RNA (TPRA_LNC002607)". Lineage: Eukaryota; Viridiplantae; Streptophyta; Magnoliopsida; Fabales; Fabaceae. The record is from RNAcentral.